This 2599-nucleotide ribosomal RNA is filed under the name Actinomycetota bacterium. Its description in RNAcentral is "Actinobacteria bacterium partial 23S ribosomal RNA". It matches the Rfam family "Bacterial large subunit ribosomal RNA", at positions 1 to 2454 of the family's 2925-position model. The record is from RNAcentral. Lineage: Bacteria; Bacillati; Actinomycetota.
ACAGUGGACGCGAGCAUCUUUGUAGUUAAAUUUUUAGGUGCAAACGGUGGAUGCCUUGGCAUCAGAAGCCGAUGAAGGACGUAUGAGGCUGCGAUAAGCCUCGGGGAGCUGCCAACAGAGCAUUGAUCCGAGGAUUUCCGAAUGGGGAAACCCACUGGGAGUAAUGUCCUAGUACUUCUGCAUGAACACAUAGUGCAGAUAGAGGGAACGUAGGGAAGUGAAACAUCUCAGUACCUACAGGAAGAGAAAACAACCGUGAUUCCGCUAGUAGUGGCGAGCGAAAGCGGAUCGAGACUAAACCGAUGGUGUGUCAAGCCGGCAGGCGUUGCACGAUCGGGGUCGUGGGAUUGUGUCGAGUAAUCUGCCGAUUACUCAAUAAGUAAAAAAUCAAUGAUGUAGAUGAAGGAUUUGGAAAGAUCCGGCACAGAAGGUAACACCCCUGUAGUCGAAACAUCAUUGACUUAUUCGCAAUAUCCCAAGUAGCACGGGGCCCGAGAAAUCCCGUGUGAAUCUGGCGGGACCACCCGCUAAGUCUAAAUACUCUCUGGUGACCGAUAGCGGACAAGUACCGUGAGGGAAAGGUGAAAAGAACCCCGAGAGGGGAGUGAAAUAGAAUCUGAAACCGUUUGCAUACAAGCCGUAGGAGCGAGAGUAAUCUUGUGACUGCGUGCCUUUUGAAGAAUGAACCUGCGAGUUAGUGUCAUGUGGCGAGGUUAACCCGUGUGGGGUAGCCGUAGCGAAAGCGAGUCUGAAUAGGGCGAAAUAGUCGCAUGAUCUAGACCCGAAGCGGGAUGAUCUAUCCAUGGUCAGGUUGAAGCGCGGGUAAGACCGCGUGGAGGACCGAACCCACUAAUGUUGAAAAAUUAGGGGAUGAACUGUGGAUAGGGGUGAAAGGCCAAUCAAAUUCCGUGAUAGCUGGUUCUCCCCGAAAUGCAUUUAGGUGCAGCGUUACGUGUUUCUUACCGGAGGUAGAGCUACUGGAUGGCUGAGGGGCCCUACAAGGUUACCAAUGUCAACCAAACUCCGAAUGCCGGUAAGUGAGAACGUAGCAGUGAGACGGCGGGGGAUAAGCUUCGUCGUCGAGAGGGAAACAACCCAGAAUGACAACUAAGGUCCCAAAGCGUGUGCUAAGUGGAAAAGGAUGUGAAGUCGCAUAGACAACCAGGAUGUUGGCUUAGAAGCAGCCACCAUUAAAAGAGUGCGUAAUAGCUCACUGGUCAAGUGAUUUCGCGCCGACAAUGUAACGGGGCUCAAGCACAUCACCGAAGUUUCAUCAUUCACGCACUACCCCGGUCCGCAAGGAUCCAGGGGCGUGGAUGGGUAGGGGAGCGUCGUGCGCGCAGUGAAGCGGCGGAGGAAUCCAGCCGUGGAGAGCGCACGAGUGAGAAUGCAGGUAUGAGUAGCGAAAGACGGGUGAGAAACCCGUCCACCGAAUGACCAAGGGUUCCUGGGCCAGGCUAAUCCGCCCAGGGUAAGUCGGGUCCUAAGGCGAGGGCGACAGCCGUAGUCGAUGGACAACUGGUUGAUAUUCCAGUACCCGCAAUAAAGCGCCCAUGGCGAACCAACAAUGCUAAGUGGGUGAAGCGGAAGCAAUUCCGUGGAUCGUACGACCCUACGUUGUAGUAGCUAAGCAAUGGUGUGACACAGGAAGGUAGUUCAGCCCAGGCGAUGGUUGUCCUGGGGUAAGGGUGUAGUGAGGGCUAUAGGCAAAUCCGUAGUCCGAAUUCAUGAGACCUGAUGCCGAGCCGAAUGGCGAAGUGAAUGAUCCUAUGCUGUCGAGAAAAGCAUCUAGCGAGCUUUAUGGCGGCCCGUACCCGAAACCGACUCAGGUGGUCAGGCAGAGAAUGCCAAGGUGAUCGAGAGAAUCAUAGUUAAGGAACUCGGCAAAAUGCCCCCGUAACUUCGGGAGAAGGGGGGCCAAAGUGGGUGUAGGAGUUUUCCUCCGAAGCCUGCGGUGGCCGCAGAGAGUAGGCCCAAGCGACUGUUUACCAAAAACACAGGUCCGUGCGAAGUUGUAAGACGAUGUAUACGGACUGACGCCUGCCCGGUGCUGGAAGGUCAAGGGGACUGGUUAGCUAGUAAUAGCGAAGCUGAGAACUUAAGCCCCAGUAAACGGCGGUGGUAACUAUAACCAUCCUAAGGUAGCGAAAUUCCUUGUCGGGUAAGUUCCGACCUGCACGAAGAAAUUGCACAACGAGUAAAGAUGCUCGUUACGUGAAGAAAGACGGAAAGACCCCGGGACCUUUACUAUAGUUUGAUAUUGGUACUCGGAACGGCUUGUGUAGGAUAGGUGGGAGACUGUGAAGCGGGCACGCCAGUGUUCGUGGAGUCAACGUUGAAAUACCACUCUGGUCGUUUUGAGUUUCUAACCUCGGUCCAUAUAUCUGGAUCAGGGACAGUGUCUGAUGGGUAGUUUAACUGGGGCGGUUGCCUCCCAAAAAGUAACGGAGGCGCUCAAAGGUUCCCUCAGCCUGGUUGGCAAUCAGGUGUCGAGUGUAAGUGCACAAGGGAGCUUGACUGCGAGACAGACAUGUCGAGCAGGUGCGAAAGCAGGAACUAGUGAUCCGGCGGUGGCUUGUGGAAGCGCCGUCGCUCAACG